GCCAGCGCCAUGGAGGGCAUCUCCUCAAAGUUCGGUCCCCAUCACCAGCGCCCUGGAAGGCGACCUCCACCGCAGCUUUCCGCCGCCGGUGAUGCGGUCACGGAUUUGCGGGUGCAUGGCGACCGGCGUUCGCACAGGCACCAGCCCUGCCGGAUGUGAAUCCUUCUCGCUAAGGUGAGGUGCCAUCACUGACUACGGGUUUCCAUGCUGAAAAGUGCUGACGAGCAAGGGAUAAGGAGCUUCUAGAUGCCUGGGGAGGAUGGAACCCUAUCUCUUCAUGAUUGAGAGUAAGAAGACUGCAUGGAGAAAUUUGGAGUUGGAACAAGAACAUGACUGCAGAAGAAAGCAAGGGAGAAAUGGCUUGUGGAUGCAUGAGGGGCUGUGGGGUUGGGGAACUCGAUGAAGCCACAUCUCUCCAAGUUUGACAUAGAUAGGCCGAGUGGGAGGAAGAAAAAAACCAGAUAUGUGCUACAACUAAACUGCGACUUCGCAAAAUAAGCAUAGAUGGUAAUAUUCCAGAUGUCCUCACUGCUGAGAGCUUUUGCUUGCCGGGAUAGAGCAAUCAUGGUAUGUAACUGAACAAAGAGCCGGGAUAGAGCACACAAGGUGAUUAUCGAGACAGACAACAUCAAGAUGCAAAGAAGAUAUAAAGAGGAGCCUGCAUAAAUUCUUGCUACCUGACAGCUGAUGUUGAUGGCUUGAUGCCCUAUCAGCAGCAUGAAAGAUCUUGCUUCUCUAGGCCUACAAGGUGUUCGAUAAAAUUCCAAGGAUGUUUGGGGAGGAUUGAUCUCUGGAACGGUGGUGCAGUUGGUGUGAGUCAAGGAAGGGCAGGGGUGAGAGCGUCCCAGUGACCGCCACCCAGCGACGCCGGUGGCGAGCACCUCGAGCCAGGUAUGGUUCCUGUUCGUUCUUGACUUCUACAUUUACUUCGCUUCCACCAGAUGGCUAGCAAACAGAUUGGACUUUGACAUGGAUUGGAGCAAAGAGAAGAGUCACAGGAAGGUGCUUUGGAGGAAGAGCUCAACAAAAUAAUUUCUUACUCCAGGGAGCAUUUCUUACUAAAUCUCAAAAUCCUCUCAAUUCUUGUUGUUCUCAGUUCAUAACCCGUCAGACAAAUAUGCAUGCCCAGACACGCACUAUCUUCAGUUUAGUACCUUCACGAGUAGAGGACAGAUUAGGGUAGCGACUUUUAGGUUGCAGUUUGGUGGCCUGAUAGGGUAGAUGGCUUGAUGUUCUUUUAAGUUCUUGCAGUUAAUCAUUAACAGUGUGGUUCUACAGUUUGAUCCGAGAUGGAUGCCUUUGUUCUGCAGUUUGGUGGCCUGAUAGGGUACAUGGCCACAAGGACAACUGAAUCAAUUUCUUACUUAAAGUCUGUGAGAUUAACUCGUGCAUGUGUUUCUGAACAGGGGAUGUAAUUAAGCUCCUAUUCCUGAUAGCCUACAACCGAUUUGAUUGGCUUGUGUAUGUUGCUUACAGGCUUGACUGAAUAUAAUUUACAGUAAAGAGCUUAUUUGGUUGAACCAUAUUUUACUUUGGGAGAAGAGAGAAGGCAUUUGUGUAUUUUCUUGCCAGCAGUAGCUAACUGUACUAUAGUAGAUCAUAUGCAGAGCUGGAAGGUGCAGUUGUUCCAAAUCUGGUAUUGUGCUAAUACUUCUAUCCAAGCUGCCAUGAGAAAAUGAUCCUCAUUAGUUCGAGAGGAUUUUGAGAUUUAGUAUUGCUUGUACGAGUGAUUCCUUUCUCAGUGUCACUUUCAAUAUGUUUCCUUUCUUUUCAUCCCUGUAGCGUAGAAUUGCAAGUGACAUACUCGCUGUAGUUGUAAUUGCAUUUUUGUAAGGGAUGUCGGCAUGUUAACAUACUUCGCUGGAGUGCGUUAAUUUGACCUUUUGGGACAUCUCUAUAAUUUUUUACUUUGACCGUUUUCGUUGCUUAUGCUGCAGGACAUCAUGGUGGUGGUGGACCUCGUGGUGAUCAGAGGAGUGCAGGAGGAGAUGUGUUUAAAUGGUUAGCAAGACCGUUCGGUCUGAAUAAACCUCAAAAAGCGGCAAAGGAUGAUUCAGGGGUCACUAUUGAGGAAGAAAUUAGAUGGUGGAGCUCACACUCAGAUGUAUGACCUGAAGGGAGGAUGAAGGAUAUGUUGAUGUGCUUCGAUGGUGGAGGAGGGUGUCACGGCCAUGGUUCUUCCUUUCUGCCACUGGUGGCACCGGAUGGCAUCGACGGCAUGCAGGUAAACCUUGACCAGCAGUAACGAGGUAGCCUGCAUGUCAUUUCUCAUGUUCUUUGCCCAUUUGUGUCAGAUUUCAGUUCCUUUUAUUUUCCAGAUCAUUCUGAGUUGUAGUGUAAUAUGAUGAUGGUUGUUUGUGUCUAUAGCAAGGAUGACAGAUUAAGCUUGAAAUUAAUCCGUGAGACUAUUGUUUGUGUUUCCUGUUUCUUUCUUUAGGUAGCAUCCUGGAACUGUAAUGUGGUGUGCAAUGUCUCAAACAUUUGUUAUGUAAAAGAAAUGUUGGCAUUUUGAGCUUGAAGAAUGCACUGUUAUUUUGCCUCCACAUUCUCCUGGAUUUGUGUCAGAAUUGUACUACUAUUUUCCAGUUGCUCCUUAUUUUGGUAGGAACUGGAGUUUUCGGAUGCCAAGUGUAUGCAUGUGUUACACAUGGAGUUCUUAAUUGUUGAAUUUGUUGGUCCUUUUUCACUGCUUUAGCUCUUUGUUCCAUUGCAGGAGCUAUCAACUCACUUUUCAUGUAUUUUGGUUACUGGAAAAUUUAUUGAGACUCAAGAAUCAAGACAAAGGCAACAAAAUUCCGAAGGUGGUAAUUUUUUGUUCCCAUAUGUUGGAAUGAGUGAAUACUAAUUGCUGCAAAUCUGUACUAGCCAUCCGAUACUUUGCAGAUUGCCUAUAUUAAAGCAUGGUUAGUGCGCAGUUCUGAGUUUCUGGUCCUCAUCUGCUUUCCAUUCUUGAGUGCUUUAGCCAUCAUUGUUUGAAACAUCUUAAAGCCUAAUGUUACAAUGAUAUGAUAGCCCAGAGGGAGUACUUAGCGGGAGCGAACUAGGUGGAGGCGUGAAUUGAGGGAAGGAUGGCGGCGCGGGAGCGAGCGUGGGUCACGGCGCAGCUGAGCGGUCACCAGCGUCUCUUUGCUGGCUAUAGGGGAGGCGAAGAUAUUUGGACAAGCAGGCAAGGGAGGAGGACUAGGGAAGGCGCAGGAGCAGCGAGGCCAUGGGGAAAGGGAAAGAGGCCAGUGGGAGGCUUUCUAAGCCAUGACUUAAACCAUGUCCAUCU
This is a long non-coding RNA of Lolium rigidum, 3271 nucleotides long. RefSeq lists it as uncharacterized. The record is from RefSeq and is a predicted model, not a curated record. NCBI's taxonomy places the organism in Eukaryota, Viridiplantae, Streptophyta, Magnoliopsida, Poales, Poaceae. The transcript has 11 exons.